Non-coding RNA from Cajanus cajan (pigeon pea), 245 nucleotides. The record is from RefSeq and is a predicted model, not a curated record. NCBI's taxonomy places the organism in Eukaryota, Viridiplantae, Streptophyta, Magnoliopsida, Fabales, Fabaceae.
CUCUUCCACUCUUCCGCUCACUGAGUUUAGCAGUCAUCAACCAUUUCGUGCUUCGACCCUCUCGUCUCUCUCGCCUUCAAAAUCCCCUUCCUUCUUCCUCAGGUUAACAUGUUGUCUGUGGGAAUAUUUGUUGAGCUAGAGGAUGAGAGAGCUCCAUGAAUUCACAGCUCAGGUUCCGUCCAACAACAGUACAAUAAUGAGUAUAAAUCCUAGCAAUGGUACUCUCGGCCCAAUUUGCAUCUGGG